RNAcentral lists this ribosomal RNA (514 nucleotides) under uncultured bacterium. Its description in RNAcentral is "bacterial SSU rRNA". It matches the Rfam family "Bacterial small subunit ribosomal RNA", at positions 791 to 1304 of the family's 1533-position model. The record is from RNAcentral.
UAGUCCACGCCGUAAACGAUGUGUGCUAGUUGUCAGGCCCUUAGGGUUUGGUGACGGAGCGAAAGUUUUAAGCACACCGCCUGGGGAGUACGGCCGCAAGGUUAAAACUCAAAGGAAUUGACGGGGACCCGCACAAGCGGUGGAGCAUGUUGUUUAAUUCGAAGCAACGCGAAGAACCUUACCUACACUUAACUAUCCUCUUGGGGUUUUCAGAGAUGAUUACUUUCGGUUCGGCCGGGGAGUGAAUAGGUGCUGCAUGGCUGUCGUCAGCUCGUGUCGUGAGAUGUUGGGUUAAGUCCCGCAACGAGCGCAACCCUUAUUGUCUGUUGCCAUCAUUUAGUUGGGCACUCUGGCAAGACUGCCGGUGAUAAGCCGGAGGAAGGCGGGGACGACGUCAAGUCAUCAUGGCCCUUACGUGUAGGGCUACAAACGUGCUACAAUGGCUGUGACAGUGGGCAGCGACCUCGCGAGAGGAAGCUAAUCUACCAAAAGCAGUCUCAGUUCGGAUUGUUCU